GAUUCUGGCUCAGGAUGAACGCUAGCUACAGGCUAACACAUGCAAGUCGAGGGGCAGCAUAUCGAAAGCUUGCUUUGAUGAUGGCGACCGGCGCACGGGUGAGUAACGCGUAUCCAACCUUCCCUAUACUAGAGGAUAGCCCGGCGAAAGUCGGAUUAAUACUCUAUGUUGUAUUUAGAAGACAUCUGAAGAAUACCAAAGGUUUACCGGUAUAGGAUGGGGGAUGCGUCUGAUUAGGUUGUUGGCGGGGUAACGGCCCACCAAGCCCACGAUCAGUAGGGGUUCUGAGAGGAAGGUCCCCCACAUUGGAACUGAGACACGGUCCAAACUCCUACGGGAGGCAGCAGUGAGGAAUAUUGGUCAAUGGACGAGAGUCUGAACCAGCCAAGUAGCGUGCAGGAUGACGGCCCUAUGGGUUGUAAACUGCUUUUAUACAGGGAUAAAGUGACGUACGUGUACGUUUUUGUAGGUACUGUAUGAAUAAGGACCGGCUAAUUCCGUGCCAGCAGCCGC
This 513-nucleotide ribosomal RNA is filed under the name uncultured bacterium. RNAcentral describes it as "bacterial SSU rRNA". It matches the Rfam family "Bacterial small subunit ribosomal RNA", at positions 15 to 518 of the family's 1533-position model. The record is from RNAcentral.